RNAcentral lists this transfer RNA (64 nucleotides) under uncultured Anaerococcus sp. It matches the Rfam family "tRNA", at positions 5 to 66 of the family's 71-position model. Rfam says of the family: Transfer RNA (tRNA) molecules are approximately 80 nucleotides in length. Their secondary structure includes four short double-helical elements and three loops (D, anti-codon, and T loops). Lineage: Bacteria; Bacillati; Bacillota; Tissierellia; Tissierellales; Peptoniphilaceae. The record is from RNAcentral.
GAAUAACUCAAUGGUAGAGUAGCGGUAUCGUAAACCGAAGGUUGCAGGUUCAAAUCCUGUUUCU